This 75-nucleotide transfer RNA is filed under the name Loxodonta africana (African savanna elephant). It matches the Rfam family "tRNA". From Rfam's summary of the family: Transfer RNA (tRNA) molecules are approximately 80 nucleotides in length. Their secondary structure includes four short double-helical elements and three loops (D, anti-codon, and T loops). The record is from Rfam by way of RNAcentral. Lineage: Eukaryota; Metazoa; Chordata; Mammalia; Proboscidea; Elephantidae.
CCCUGGGUGGUGCAAAUGGUUAAACACGUUUGGCUGCUAACUGAAAGGCUGGAGGUUUGAGUCCACCCACGGGUG